CCGGUAGUGAAGCCCGUGGUGAGCGUGUACCCAGCAGCAUCCAGAGCCCACCAUGAGGGGAAGAGCUCCCUGCUGUGUGUGGCCUCAAACAUGUUUCCUCCUGUAGUCCGCUUCUCCUGGAAAAGACGAAAGGUGAAUGGUCCUCUGGAGGAGCUGCCCCUAGCUGAGGGAGAGAGAAAUUCAGGAUGCACCGCCGCCAUCAGAGUGAUUGAUCGGGAUGCUCUCUACACAUAUAAAUACCGCUGUAAUGUCCAGCACGAGGGGGGGAAGGUGGAGGCCCAAACAGAACAAGAGAUUUCUGCACCACCAACACUUCCACCAUUACCUCCACCAACACUUCCACCAUUUAUUCCACCAUCACCUCCACCAUCCGCGCCCGUCCAGUCCUGGCACAGAGAGAGGUUACUCUGCCUGAUGUACACAGCACUGAUAGUGAAGAGUCUGGUGUACUGCUGUGGACUCUCUCUGCUGAGGAUCCUCAGAAACAAGGGACCGUCCACCGACCUCACACAAGUGACUGACUGACUGUCCUACUGCAGCUUUAACGCUCAACGUCUGCUAAAGCCUGAAGAUAAAGUCUAGAGCCGACCCCUCUUCUAAAACCAACAAUGAAUUGAUCGAUUAACAAGUUCUGUCUGUGUAGGCAACAUCUGAAUUGCACAUACUGUCCAUCAUUUGGGUGACACAUUCCUUCAUUAUGACGAAUGUGGUUCAAUGUAGUUUAUUGUUUUCAAUGGUGGAAACAACACACACUGGACUUGUUAGCAGAUACAUUCAGUAAUUUUGUUGAUAACACCAACAUCAUCCUUCAGUCCAUUUCUUGUUGAUAACAUCUAAAUUAUUAAAUUUUCUGGAGAAAAUAAAUGUGGAUGAUACAGAUAAUAUCAAGAAAAGUGUUAUCUCAGGAUAACUUCAUAAAAAAUCUACAUCUGAUCAGAAGCUCACUAAGAACUCCCGCAACAACGUUCAGUUAUUUUCUAAUAUAAUGCGUAAUUUAUACAUAAUACUGAGUAUGUCUGUUGAUAUUAUCCAUGUUAUCAGCUUUAGUUACAGUUC
Non-coding RNA from Micropterus salmoides (largemouth bass), 1056 nucleotides. The record is from the annotation of a RefSeq genome assembly. Lineage: Eukaryota; Metazoa; Chordata; Actinopteri; Centrarchiformes; Centrarchidae.